Molecule: ribosomal RNA, 492 nt
Filed under: uncultured bacterium
Lineage: Bacteria
Description: partial 16S ribosomal RNA
Rfam family: Bacterial small subunit ribosomal RNA
Source: RNAcentral
AUUGAACGCUGGCGGCAUGCUUUACACAUGCAAGUCGAACGGUAACAGGCCUUCGGGUGCUGACGAGUGGCGCACGGGUGAGUAAUGCAUCGGAACGUGCCCAGAGGUGGGGGAUAACGCAGCGAAAGCUGUGCUAAUACCGCAUGUGAUCUGAGGAUGAAAGCGGGGGACCAGGCAGCAAUGUUUGGCCUCGCGCCUUUGGAGCUGCCGAUGUCAGAUUAGGUAGUUGGUGGGGUAAAGGCCUACCAAGCCGACGAUCUGUAGCUGGUCUGAGAGGACGACCAGCCACACUGGGACUGAGACACGGCCCAGACUCCUACGGGAGGCAGCAGUGGGGAAUUUUGGACAAUGGGCGCAAGCCUGAUCCAGCAAUGCCGCGUGCGGGAAGAAGGCCUUCGGGUUGUAAACCGCUUUUGUACGGAACGAAAAGGCUCUGGCUAAUACCUGGGGCUGAUGACGGUACCGUAAGAAUAAGCACCGGCUAACUACGUG